CCUACGGGAGGCAGCAGUGGGGAAUAUUGCGCAAUGGGCGCAAGCCUGACGCAGCGACGCCGCGUGAGGGAUGAAGGUCUUCGGAUCGUAAACCUCUGUCAGCAGGGAAGAACGGUCACUGUGCUAAUCAGCAGUGAAUUGACGGUACCUGCAAAGGCAGCACCGGCUAACUCCGUGCCAGCAGCCGCGGUAAUACGGAGGGUGCGAGCGUUAAUCGGACUUACUGGGCGUAAAGCGCUCGUAGGCGGUAUGUCAAGUCAAGUGGGAAAUCCCCGCGCUCAACGUGGGAACUGCCGUUGAAACGGGCAAACUGGAGUGUGUGAGAGGAUAGUGGAAUUCCAGGUGUAGGAGUGAAAUCCGUAGAUAUCUGGAGGAACAUCAGUGGCGAAGGCGACUAUCUGGCACAUAACUGACGCUGAGGAGCGAAAGCGUGGGUAGCAAACAGGAUUAGAUACCCGGGUAGUC
Molecule: ribosomal RNA, 465 nt
Filed under: uncultured bacterium
Lineage: Bacteria
Description: partial 16S ribosomal RNA
Rfam family: Bacterial small subunit ribosomal RNA
Source: RNAcentral